GAAACAUAGAAACAUAGACUGUGAUGGCAGAUAAGAACCAUUUGGCCCAUCUAGCCCGCCUGAUUUUCUAAAUAAUUUCAUUAGUUUUUGGCCUUAUCUUAAGUCUAGGAUAGCCUUAUGCCUAACUCGCGCCUGCUUAAACUCUUUCACUGUGUUAACCUCUACCACUUCAGCUGGAAGGCUAUUCCAUGCGUCCACUGCCCUCUCUGUAAAG
Pelobates cultripes (western spadefoot toad) is the source of this 214-nucleotide non-coding RNA. NCBI's taxonomy places the organism in Eukaryota, Metazoa, Chordata, Amphibia, Anura, Pelobatidae. The record is from the annotation of a GenBank genome assembly.